AUGAACGCUGGCGGCGUGCCUAAUACAUGCAAGUCGAGCGAACAGACGAGGAGCUUGCUCCUCUGACGUUCGCGGCGGACGGGUGAGUAACACGUGGAUAACCUACCUAUAAGACUGGGAUAACUUCGGGAAACCGGAGCUAAUACCGGAUAAUAUAUUGAACCGCAUGGUUCAAUAGUGAAAGACGGUUUUGCUGUCACUUAUAGAUGGAUCCGCGCCGCAUUAGCUAGUUGGUAAGGUAACGGCUUACCAAGGCAACGAUGCGUAGCCGACCUGAGAGGGUGAUCGGCCACACUGGAACUGAGACACGGUCCAGACUCCUACGGGAGGCAGCAGUAGGGAAUCUUCCGCAAUGGGCGAAAGCUUGACGGAGCAACGCCGCGUGAGUGAUGAAGGUCUUCGGAUCGUAAAACUCUGUUAUUAGGGAAGAACAAAUGUGUAAGUAACUAUGCACGUCUUGACGGUACCUAAUCAGAAAGCCACGGCUAACUACGUG
Molecule: ribosomal RNA, 496 nt
Filed under: uncultured bacterium
Lineage: Bacteria
Description: partial 16S ribosomal RNA
Rfam family: Bacterial small subunit ribosomal RNA
Source: RNAcentral